RNAcentral lists this transfer RNA (58 nucleotides) under Macrophthalmus darwinensis. RNAcentral's name for it is "tRNA-Thr". The record is from RNAcentral. Lineage: Eukaryota; Metazoa; Arthropoda; Malacostraca; Decapoda; Macrophthalmidae.
AAGUUUAACGCAAAAACUUUCAGCAUUGGUCUUGUAAACCAAAAAAAAAUUAAACUUU